UAAGUUAACCAGGUGAUCGCGGCCUUUUUGGCUGAGGAAAGUCCGAGCUCCACAGGACAGGAUGCUGGGUAAUUCCCAGUGGAGGUAACUCCCAGGAAAGUGCCACAGAAAUAUACCGCCUUAUUUUAAUAAGGUAAGGGUGAAAAGGUAAGGUAAGAGCUUACCAGGUUUCAGGUGACUGGAAUGCUAGGUAAACCCCAUCUGGAGUAAGUCCAAAUAGGGAGAAUGAGGAGUGGUCCGCUCUUCUCCGGGUAAGGACGCUCAAACUAAUAGGUAACUAUUAGUUAAGAUAGAUGAUCGCCUAAUACAGAACUCGGCUUACAGGUUAACUUAUUAU
RNAcentral lists this RNase P RNA (337 nucleotides) under Halanaerobium sp. DL-01. Its description in RNAcentral is "Bacterial RNase P class A". It matches the Rfam family "Bacterial RNase P class A". From Rfam's summary of the family: Ribonuclease P (RNase P) is a ubiquitous endoribonuclease, found in archaea, bacteria and eukarya as well as chloroplasts and mitochondria. Its best characterised activity is the generation of mature 5'-ends of tRNAs by cleaving the 5'-leader elements of precursor-tRNAs. Cellular RNase Ps are ribonucleoproteins. The record is from Rfam by way of RNAcentral. RNAcentral also lists the same sequence under 1 other name. Lineage: Bacteria; Bacillati; Bacillota; Clostridia; Halanaerobiales; Halanaerobiaceae.